GAUGAAGAACGUAGUGAAAUGCGAUACGUAGUGUGAAUUGCAGAAUUCAGUGAAUCAUCGAAUCUUUGAACGCACAUUGCGCCCUUUGGUAUUCCAAAGGGCAUGCCUGUUCGAGCGUCAUUUGUACCCUCAAGCUUUGCUUGGUGUUGGGCGUUUUUGUCUUUGGCCCGCCAAAGACUCGCCUUAUAAUGAUUGGCAGCCGGCCUACUGGUUUCGCAGCGCAGCACAUUUUUGCGCUUGCAAUCAGCAAAAGAGGACGGCAAUCCAUCAAGACUCCUUCUCACGUUUGACCUCGGAUCAGGUAGGGAUACCCGCUGAACUUAAGCAUAUCAAUAAGCGGAGGA
This 344-nucleotide unclassified non-coding RNA is filed under the name soil metagenome. RNAcentral's name for it is "partial contains 5.8S ribosomal RNA, internal transcribed spacer 2, and large subunit ribosomal RNA". The stretch from base 1 to 120 matches the Rfam family "5.8S ribosomal RNA", at positions 35 to 154 of the family's 154-position model. The record is from RNAcentral.